GCUUCGCAAUGCCAACUCGGCCAUUUCUACUUCUGUUACUGCUCGUAGAGGUUGUUCUUCGUACACAUUUGAAUAAGGUAACGAUUAUACAACAUGGUAAAUGGAAGAAUACCUUCGGUUUUCUCAAAAACCUACGUUACUCCCAGAAGACCGUAUGAAAAGGCUCGUUUAGACCAAGAAUUACGAAUUAUUGGUGAAUAUGGUCUUCGUAAUAAACGUGAAGUGUGGCGAGUCAAAUAUACGUUAGCUAAUAUUCGAAAAGCCGCUCGUGAACUUCUUACUUUAGAAGAAAAGGAUCCUAAACGUUUGUUUGAAGGAAAUGCUCUUUUACGUCGUUUGGUAAGAAUUGGAGUACUAGAUGAAAGCCGUAUGAAGCUUGAUUAUGUUCUUGGUUUGAAGAUUGAAGACUUUUUAGAAAGACGACUUCAAACUCAAGUAUUUAAAUUAGGACUUGCCAAAUCUAUUCAUCAUGCUCGUGUGCUUAUUCGCCAACGUCACAUUAGGUAUUCGAACAAUUUCCCUGAUUGAUUGUCCAUUGAAAAUAAUAGAAAAUAUGUGACUUAAAUAUUGGCUGAAUAAUUGUGGUGCAGAAUUGCAUACUAAUAUUUUCUUUCAAGCAGGCCACUUAAGUGUUAGAAAACUGGCACUUAACGUCUGUCAUACAUUAAGGAAUACAUAGUCGUGUUAAAAGUAAUUGAGUGCGCAAACAAGUGGUAAACAUUCCAUCUUUCAUUGUGAGAUUGGAUUCACAGAAGCAUAUUGAUUUCUCAUUG
Eufriesea mexicana is the source of this 773-nucleotide RNA transcript. It is a transcript of the gene named ribosomal protein S9, with no coding region annotated. Lineage: Eukaryota; Metazoa; Arthropoda; Insecta; Hymenoptera; Apidae. The transcript is spliced from 5 exons. The record is from RefSeq and is a predicted model, not a curated record.